RNAcentral lists this ribosomal RNA (244 nucleotides) under uncultured bacterium. Its description in RNAcentral is "partial 16S ribosomal RNA". It matches the Rfam family "Bacterial small subunit ribosomal RNA", at positions 528 to 772 of the family's 1533-position model. The record is from RNAcentral.
GAGGAUGCGAGCGUUAUCCGGAUUUAUUGGGUUUAAAGGGUGCGUAGGCGGCAUUGCAAGUCGGCGGUGAAAGACCAUGGCUCAACCAUGGCGAGCCGUCGAAACUGCGGGGCUUGAGAGGACGAGAGGUACGCGGAAUGCGCGGUGUAGCGGUGAAAUGCAUAGAUAUCGCGAAGAACUCCGAUUGCGAAGGCAGCGUACCGGUGUCUUUCUGACGCUGAGGCACGAAAGCGUGGGGAUCGAA